This 630-nucleotide ribosomal RNA is filed under the name uncultured Russulaceae. RNAcentral's name for it is "LSU rRNA". It matches the Rfam family "Eukaryotic large subunit ribosomal RNA", at positions 47 to 649 of the family's 3401-position model. Lineage: Eukaryota; Fungi; Basidiomycota; Agaricomycetes; Russulales; Russulaceae. The record is from RNAcentral.
UAAGCGGAGGAAAAGAAACUAACAAGGAUUCCCCUAGUAACUGCGAGUGAAGCGGGAAAAGCUCAAAUUUAAAAUCUGGUGGUCUUUGGCCAUCCGAGUUGUAAUUUAGAGAAGCGUCUUNCGCGCUGGACCGUGCACAAGUCUCCUGGAAUGGAGCGUCAUAGAGGGUGAGAAUCCCGUCUUUGGCAUGGAAUCCCAGGGCUUCUGUGAUGCGCUCUCGACGAGUCGAGUUGUUUGGGAAUGCAGCUCAAAAUGGGUGGUGAACUCCAUCUAAAGCUAAAUAUUGGCGAGAGACCGAUAGCGAACAAGUACCGUGAGGGAAAGAUGAAAAGCACUUUGGAAAGAGAGUUAAACAGUACGUGAAAUUGUUGAAAGGGAAACGUUUGAAGUCAGUCGCGUCGGCCGAGACUCAACCUUGCUAUCUUGCUGGGUGCACUUCUCGGUCGACGGGUCAGCAUCAAUUUUGACCGUCGGAUAAAGGCUGAGGGAACGUGGCAUCCUUCGGGGUGUGUUAUAGCCCUCGGUUCGCAUACGACGAUUGGGAUUGAGGAACUCAGCACGCCUUCAUUGGUCGGGGUAUCUACCCACGUUAACGUGCUUAGGAUGCUGGCAUAAUGGCUUUAAGCGACC